GGCUCCGGCUCCCGCUAUCGGAUGAGCCUAUGUCGGAUUAGCUGGUUGGUGAGGUAAAGGCUCACCAAGGCGACGAUCCGUAGCUGGUCUGAGAGGAUGAUCAGCCACAUCGGGACUGAGACACGGCCCGAACUCCUACGGGAGGCAGCAGUGGGGAAUAUUGGACAAUGGGGGCAACCCUGAUCCAGCCAUGCCGCGUGUGUGAAGAAGGCCCUCGGGUUGUAAAGCACUUUCAGUGAGGAAGAACGCCUGGUGGUUAAUACCCAUCAGGAAGGACAUCGCUCACAGAAGAAGCACCGGCUAACUCCGUGCCAGCAGCCGCGGUAAUACGGAGGGUGCGAGCGUUAAUCGGAAUUACUGGGCGUAAAGCGCGCGUAGGUGGCUUGAUAAGCCGGUUGUGAAAGCCCCGGGCUCAACCUGGGACGGCAUCCGGAACUGUCAAGCUAGAGUGCAGGAGAGGAAGGUAGAAUUCCCGGUGUAGCGGUGAAAUGNCNGUANGANGAUCGGGAGGAAUACCAGUGGCGAAGGCGGCCUUCUGGACUGACACUGACACUGAGGUGCGAAAGCGUGGGUAGCAAACAGGAUUAGAUACCCUGGUAGUCCACGCCGUAAACGAUGUCGACCAGUCGUUGGGUGCCUAGCGCACUUUGUGGCGAAGUUAACGCGAUAAGUCGACCGCCUGGGGANGUACGGCCGCAAGGUUAAAACUCAAAUGAAUUGACGGGGGCCCGCACAAGCGGUGGAGCAUGUGGUUUAAUUCGAUGCAACGCGAAGAACCUUACCUACUCUUGACAUCCUGCGAAUUUGGUAGAGAUACCUUAGUGCCUUCGGGAACGCAGAGACAGGUGCUGCAUGGCUGUCGUCAGCUCGUGUUGUGAAAUGUUGGGUUAAGUCCCGUAACGAGCGCAACCCUUGUCCUUAUUUGCCAGCGCGUAAUGGCGGGAACUCUAAGGAGACUGCCGGUGACAAACCGGAGGAAGGUGGGGACGACGUCAAGUCAUCAUGGCCCUUACGAGUAGGGCUACACACGUGCUACAAUGGUCGGUACAAAGGGUUGCCAACUCGCGAGAGUGAGCCAAUCCCGAAAAGCCGAUCUCAGUCCGGAUCGGAGUCUGCAACUCGACUCCGUGAAGUCGGAAUCGCUAGUAAUCGUGGAUCAGAAUGCCACGGUGAAUACGUUCCC
Molecule: ribosomal RNA, 1183 nt
Filed under: uncultured Halomonas sp.
Lineage: Bacteria; Pseudomonadati; Pseudomonadota; Gammaproteobacteria; Oceanospirillales; Halomonadaceae
Description: bacterial SSU rRNA
Rfam family: Bacterial small subunit ribosomal RNA
Source: RNAcentral